Molecule: unclassified non-coding RNA, 373 nt
Filed under: Bursera sarukhanii
Lineage: Eukaryota; Viridiplantae; Streptophyta; Magnoliopsida; Sapindales; Burseraceae
Description: partial external transcribed spacer
Source: RNAcentral
GAGACAAGCAUAUGACUACUGGCAGGAUCAACCAGGUAGCAUUCCUUCGCGACGCCGACGCCCGCAUGAGACCCGGCAGGCCGUACGGCCGCGGGCUCAAGACGGGCACGGCAGUCGUUCGUGUCGUGAGACAAAUGCGUUGCUUGGGCAAACGGAGCUAAUAAAUAGACCCCGCACCCGCACAUAACAUUCUGCAUCCGAGAGCACGGGCAAUGCACCUCAUGGGCCGAGGCAGCGACGCAGCUGGGCGAAGCAUGCCGGGAACACGAGGCUUGCCUGAUGUCCACCCCAAAACCCGUGAGGGCAGGGGGCGGAAAGGGGCUAACGAAACCAUCGGAUUCCUUUCGAUAGGUAAGCAACACAGGAUACCGAA